This 385-nucleotide ribosomal RNA is filed under the name Providencia rettgeri. RNAcentral describes it as "bacterial SSU rRNA". It matches the Rfam family "Bacterial small subunit ribosomal RNA", at positions 590 to 974 of the family's 1533-position model. The record is from RNAcentral. Lineage: Bacteria; Pseudomonadati; Pseudomonadota; Gammaproteobacteria; Enterobacterales; Morganellaceae.
AGAUGUGAAAUCCCCGGGCUUAACCUGGGAAUGGCAUCUAAGACUGGUCAGCUAGAGUCUUGUAGAGGGGGGUAGAAUUCCAUGUGUAGCGGUGAAAUGCGUAGAGAUGUGGAGGAAUACCGGUGGCGAAGGCGGCCCCCUGGACAAAGACUGACGCUCAGGUGCGAAAGCGUGGGGAGCAAACAGGAUUAGAUACCCUGGUAGUCCACGCUGUAAACGAUGUCGAUUUGAAGGUUGUUCCCUUGAGGAGUGGCUUUCGGAGCUAACGCGUUAAAUCGACCGCCUGGGGAGUACGGCCGCAAGGUUAAAACUCAAAUGAAUUGACGGGGGCCCGCACAAGCGGUGGAGCAUGUGGUUUAAUUCGAUGCAACGCGAAGAACCUUAC